GGGAGGUCCGACUGUUUAAUAAAAACGUAACUAACUGCAAGCCUGUAAAGGUUAGUAUAGUUGGUGACGUCUGCCCAGUGCCAGGAUCUGAAACUUGGUUUCAACUGAGCUAAGGACUGGUAAACGGCGGGAAUAACUAUAAUUCUCUUAAGGU
This 154-nucleotide ribosomal RNA is filed under the name Candidatus Aenigmatarchaeota archaeon. Its description in RNAcentral is "partial 23S ribosomal RNA". It matches the Rfam family "Archaeal large subunit ribosomal RNA", at positions 1881 to 2034 of the family's 2987-position model. The record is from RNAcentral. Lineage: Archaea; Nanobdellati; Candidatus Aenigmatarchaeota.